UGCAGUCGAACGGUGAAGCCAAGCUUGCUUGGUGGAUCAGUGGCGAACGGGUGAGUAACACGUGAGCAACCUGCCCCGGACUCUGGGAUAAGCGCUGGAAACGGCGUCUAAUACCGGAUAUGAACCACAGCCGCAUGGUUGGUGGUUGGAAAGAUUUUUUGGUUCGGGAUGGGCUCGCGGCCUAUCAGCUUGUUGGUGAGGUAAUGGCUCACCAAGGCGUCGACGGGUAGCCGGCCUGAGAGGGUGACCGGCCACACUGGGACUGAGACACGGCCCAGACUCCUACGGGAGGCAGCAGUGGGGAAUAUUGCACAAUGGGCGGAAGCCUGAUGCAGCAACGCCGCGUGAGGGAUGACGGCCUUCGGGUUGUAAACCUCUUUUAGCAAGGAAGAAGCGAAAGUGACGGUACUUGCAGAAAAAGCGCCGGCUAACUACGUGCCAGCAGCCGCGGUAAUACGUAGGGCGCAAGCGUUAUCCGGAAUUAUUGGGCGUAAAGAGCUCGUAGGCGGUUUGUCGCGUCUGCUGUGAAAACUGGAGGCUCAACCUCCAGCCUGCAGUGGGUACGGGCAGACUAGAGUGCGGUAGGGGAGAUUGGAAUUCCUGGUGUAGCGGUGGAAUGCGCAGAUAUCAGGAGGAACACCGAUGGCGAAGGCAGAUCUCUGGGCCGUAACUGACGCUGAGGAGCGAAAGGGUGGGGAGCAAACAGGCUUAGAUACCCUGGUAGUCCACCCCGUAAACGUUGGGAACUAGUUGUGGGGGCCAUUCCACGGUCUCCGUGACGCAGCUAACGCAUUAAGUUCCCCGCCUGGGGAGUACGGCCGCAAGGCUAAAACUCAAAGGAAUUGACGGG
RNAcentral lists this ribosomal RNA (850 nucleotides) under Microbacterium sp. 734H107. RNAcentral's name for it is "bacterial SSU rRNA". It matches the Rfam family "Bacterial small subunit ribosomal RNA", at positions 56 to 917 of the family's 1533-position model. The record is from RNAcentral. Lineage: Bacteria; Bacillati; Actinomycetota; Actinomycetes; Micrococcales; Microbacteriaceae.